UUUGACUAGUUGACUUGUGAGGGGAACUUAGCUGCUAAAGACUCUGGCAGUUCCAUUUCUUCCAAGUUCAAAAAGAGAAGAAGCUGAAGUCGGAGGACAGUGUUUUCCCAUUUCAAUUGAAGUUACAGAAAAAAAAAAAAACCCUCCCUCAAGAAUGUUGGAGAAAUGAGGAGAGAACACAGCAAGAAGGAGAGCAGAUGGGGUGGGAUUUUCCUUCAGCCACAUGACACGGCAGAAAUGGCAGCUCAUUAUUUUCCAAUCCUAAAACCCAGACCUUUGGAGAGGCUGGAAAGGCAAAAGCUAAAGGGAUGUGGAUACUGAGGCCCACACAGUCAUUGUCUUGUCCAUGAUUAUAAAGGCAAAUAUUAAGAACUGUGAUUUUAUGAUGAACUGACGGGACUCAAGUAACUGAAGAAGAAAUUAUUCAAUUAACAAAUAGGCUGUCAAAUGAUCACAGGCAAUACAUAGACUGGCCGCGGAAAAGGAAGCAUUUGUUUUAGAAUUGGAACAUGGAAGAUUUAUGGAAUGUUCAUGUGUCAAGUUUUUGCAAUCUCUCAAGGAGGCCACUUGUGAUGUCAGGUUGUUAUCAGUCAUGGAAACUGACUCAUCAGUCUUCAGAGAAUUUCACAGAAAAUCUUCAGGCAAGGUUAUGAAAGAUGAGAGGCCUCAAAAUUGUGAAAAAGCCAUUCUGUGAAUACGAGUCUUUGAUGCCUAAAGAACAUUCUUUCUUGAUUGAGAAAUGAACAGAUGAUACAUGAACCAACCCUGUUAAAAGUAGUAACUAAAACACAAUAAAUAGGUAACAACUUAUCUUACCUAUUUAUUCAUGACAAAUGAGGAUUUAAUUUUUUUUUGAGAAGGGAAGGGUCAUACCUAUGAUUGUAUCA
Dromiciops gliroides (monito del monte) is the source of this 887-nucleotide long non-coding RNA. RefSeq lists it as uncharacterized. The transcript is spliced from 3 exons. The record is from RefSeq and is a predicted model, not a curated record. NCBI's taxonomy places the organism in Eukaryota, Metazoa, Chordata, Mammalia, Microbiotheria, Microbiotheriidae.